This 403-nucleotide ribosomal RNA is filed under the name bacterium. Its description in RNAcentral is "partial 16S ribosomal RNA". It matches the Rfam family "Bacterial small subunit ribosomal RNA", at positions 355 to 776 of the family's 1533-position model. The record is from RNAcentral.
UGGGGAAUAUUGCACAAUGGGGGAAACCUUGAUGCAGCGACGCCGCGUGAACGAAGAAGGUAUUCGUAUCGUAAAGUUCUGUCCUAUGGGAAGAUAAUGACAGUACCAUAGAAGAAAGCUCCGGCUAAAUACGUGCCAGCAGCCGCGGUAAUACGUAUGGAGCGAGCGUUGUCCGGAAUUAUUGGGCGUAAAGGGUACGCAGGCGGUUUAAUAAGUCGAAUGUUAAAGAUCGGGGCUCAACCCCGCAAAGCAUUGGAAACUGAUAAACUUGAGUAGUGGAGAGGAAAGUGGAAUUCCUAGUGUAGUGGUGAAAUACGUAGAUAUUAGGAGGAAUACCAGUAGCGAAGGCGACUUGCUGGACACAAACUGACGCUGAGGUACGAAAGCGUGGGGAGCAAACAGG